AGCGAACGCUGGCGGCAGGCCUAACACAUGCAAGUCGAACGAACUCUUCGGAGUUAGUGGCGGACGGGUGAGUAACACGUGGGAACGUGCCUUCUGGUUCGGAAUAACUCAGGGAAUCUUGUGCUAAUACCGAAUGUGCCCUUCGGGGGAAAGAUUUAUCGCCGUUAGAGCGGCCCGCGUCUGAUUAGCUAGUUGGUGAGGUAACGGAUCACCCAGGCGACGAUCAGUAGCUGGUCUGAGAGGAUGACCAGCCACACUGGGACAGAGACGCGGCCCAGACUGCUACGGGAGGCAGCAGUGGGGAAUCUUGCGCAACGGGCGAAAGCCUGACGCAGCCAUGCCGCAUGAAUGAUGAAGGUCUUAGGAUUGUAAAAUUCUUUAACGGGGGACGAUAAUGACGGUACCCGGAGAAGAAGCCCCGGCUAACUUCGUG
This 433-nucleotide ribosomal RNA is filed under the name uncultured bacterium. RNAcentral's name for it is "partial 16S ribosomal RNA". It matches the Rfam family "Bacterial small subunit ribosomal RNA", at positions 29 to 507 of the family's 1533-position model. The record is from RNAcentral.